CAGCUACAUCCCGUUGAAAAAUCCGGUUCCCGUACGAUCACCGAAGUUAAGCAACACAGAGAGUGGUCAGUACCUAGAUGAGUAACCGCCUGGGAAUACUAGCUGCUGCAUG
Molecule: non-coding RNA, 112 nt
Organism: Acanthosepion pharaonis
Lineage: Eukaryota; Metazoa; Mollusca; Cephalopoda; Sepiida; Sepiidae
Source: the annotation of a GenBank genome assembly